AUUGAACGCUGGCGGCAUGCUUUACACAUGCAAGUCGAACGGCAGCGCGGGCUUCGGCCUGGCGGCGAGUGGCGAACGGGUGAGUAAUGCAUCGGAACGUGCCCAGUAGUGGGGGAUAGCCCGGCGAAAGCCGGAUUAAUACCGCAUACGACCUGAGGGUGAAAGCGGGGGACCGAAAGGCCUCGCGCUAUUGGAGCGGCCGAUGUCGGAUUAGCUAGUUGGUGGGGUAAAGGCUUACCAAGGCGACGAUCCGUAGCUGGUCUGAGAGUACAACCAGCCACAAGGGGAAUGGGAAACGGCCCAGACCCCUAGGGGAGGCAGGAGGGGGGAAUUUGGGAAAAGGGGGGCAACCCUGACCCAGCCAUGCCGGGUGGGGGAAGAAGGCCUUGGGGUUGUAAACCGCUUUUGUUGGGGAAAAAAUCCUCGGGGCUAAUACCCCGGGGGGAGGACGGUACCGGAAGAAUAAGCACCGGCUAACUACGU
RNAcentral lists this ribosomal RNA (483 nucleotides) under uncultured bacterium. Its description in RNAcentral is "partial 16S ribosomal RNA". It matches the Rfam family "Bacterial small subunit ribosomal RNA", at positions 29 to 506 of the family's 1533-position model. The record is from RNAcentral.